CACCCCGUAGCUCAGGGGUUAGAGCGCUCGCCUGGCAAGCGAGGGGGACCCGGGUUCGAUUCCCGGGCGGGUCA
Non-coding RNA from Callorhinchus milii (elephant shark), 74 nucleotides. The record is from the annotation of a RefSeq genome assembly. NCBI's taxonomy places the organism in Eukaryota, Metazoa, Chordata, Chondrichthyes, Chimaeriformes, Callorhinchidae.